GGAAGGGUUUGUUUCGGAGUUCUGGGCGUAAGGGUGUGUAGGCGGUCGUUUAAGUUUGGUGUGAAAUCUCCCGGCUCAACUGGGAGGGUGCGCCGAAUACUGAGCGGCUAGAGUGCGGGAGAGGAGAGUGGAAUUCCUGGUGUAGCGGUGAAAUGCGUAGAUAUCAGGAGGAACACCGGCGGUGUAGACGGCUCUCUGGACCGUAACUGACGCUGAGACACGAAAGCGUGGGUAGCAAACAGGAUUAGAUACCCUGGUAGUCCACGCCCUAAACGAUGCAUAUUUGGUGUGGGUCAUUCAGUUGAUCCGUGCCGGAGCUAACGCGUUAAAUAUGCCGCCUGGGGAGUACAGUCGCAAGGCUGAAACUCAAAGGAAUUGACGGGGGCCCGCACAAGCGGUGGAGCAUGUGGUUCAAUUCGACGCAACGCGAAGGACCUUACCUGGGCUCGAACGGCUGGUUAACGGAGGCGGAAACGCUUCUACCCCGCAAGGGGGUCCAGUCGAGGUGCUGCAUGGCUGUCGUCAGCUCGUGUCGUGAGAUGUUGGGUUAAGUCCCGCAACGAGCGCAACCCUUGUCCUGUGUUGCCAUGCCGAAAGGCGGAACUCGCAGGAGACCGCCAGCGAUAAGCUGGAGGAAGGUGGGGAUGACGUCAAGUCCUCAUGGCCUUUAUGUCCAGGGCUACACACGUGCUACAAUGGACGGUACAAAGCGUCCCGAACCCGCGAGGGGAAGGCAAUCGCAAAAAACCGUUCUCAGUUCGGAUUGCAGGCUGCAACUCGCCUGCAUGAAGCUGGAAUCGCUAGUAAUGGCAGAUCAGCACGCUGCCGUGAAUACGUUCCCGGGCCUUGUACACACCGCCCGUCACAUCACGAAAGUGGAUUGUACUAGAAGUCUGCAGCUGACCCGCAAGGGGGGCAGCGGCCCAAGGUAUGAUCCAUGAUUGGGGUGAAGUCGUAACAAGGUAAC
This 967-nucleotide ribosomal RNA is filed under the name uncultured bacterium. Its description in RNAcentral is "bacterial SSU rRNA". It matches the Rfam family "Bacterial small subunit ribosomal RNA", at positions 532 to 1500 of the family's 1533-position model. The record is from RNAcentral.